Zonotrichia albicollis (white-throated sparrow) is the source of this 6013-nucleotide non-coding RNA. Lineage: Eukaryota; Metazoa; Chordata; Aves; Passeriformes; Passerellidae. The record is from RefSeq and is a predicted model, not a curated record.
GAUCCCACCUGUGUGCUGGGGGUUCCUGCGUGCCGCGGGCAGCAACAGCGUGCGGUUGCUGAAGCGAGCUGGAAAUAAGGGAGAUGAGUUACAAGGGGCAGUAGCCGGGAGGAAAUAAAAAAAAAAUAAUUAAAAGCUGAGGGAUUCUCCACAGCCCCCGUCAACAGAAUCUCCAAGUAAAGUUACAGGAUGCAGAUACAGGUUUUAACUACAGUGAACCUGCUGCUGAAGCAUCUCUUCAGUGCCUUUUCUUCCCCACCUAUUGAACUGCAUUUUCCUCGGCACAUCUACUCAGCACUACAGGAACUUUCAUACAUGCUAGAGGUGUUGCAAGAAGAUGAGCAGGAAGCCCAUCCUGCACCAGACAAGCUAGAAUGUUCUGAUAAACAUUUUCAGAGGACAAGUUACAGUGCUAAUGAGACUGUCUUGUGUCCUCUGAACAGUCUGUGCUGGAGUUGGAAUAUGCUUCCUGUCGUUCAUCAGAAGAACUGGCAAGCAAGCAAGGCUGACAGAUGUAGUUCAGACUUAUGAGGAUUUCCUGUUGCAAAAGUUUGGCAUCCACUGACAUUUCCUGGUGGUGUAGAAAAGCCAGAAGAGUAAUGGGUUGUUGUAAUGGUUUGGCCUGAAGAUUCUUCCUGUGGACCUAAGUGGAUGGUAAUUUGAAUGAUAUGUCCUGCGAGGUGAGAGCCAUAAAUGAGGUCUGAGCAGAAGUGAAAGUCUAAGUGAUUGUUAAUGUAUUGAGAUUAAGGUGCCAAAUUUCAUUUCACCUCUUUAAGAUCUGGACAGGACAAAGAUACUCUCCCUGCUUUAGAAUAAGGAAAUAGUGAAAGGAGGAACUUCUGGUCUGUAUUCCUCAGAAAUUCCCAGGAGGUGUGAUGAGUGCACUUCUUCUUCCAAGACUGCUAAUGAAAAGCCACAGCGUUCUGGAGGAGGUACAGAUGGCUUCUGAAGGAUGGUUGUAUGAUGCUUCAUUCAGUGGGAUUCCGACUCAUCAUAGCCAGCCUGCUACCUCAGAGACAGGAGCUGAUGUUUCAAGCAUGAUCGUGGAGCUGAGCACCUUCUGGAGCAGUCACGCUGCAUCUUGGAUGAAUACCAAAGCUGCUGGGCGUUCAGCACUGAGACAGUCUCCAAGGGAGCUGGGAAUGCAUGACCCAGGAAGACCCACAGCUCCAGAAUUCACCAGGAAGCACAGCAUCUCUUCUUUCAUCUCAGGCUAGCUAAAACCUUUCCAUUAGAGCAGGGUUUUCCUAAUCAAAUACCUCUGUGGCAAAAGAUGGUUUGAGAAUUCAUGAUUUAUGUGUUAAAAGACUGAAGAAAGGGGCCUCCUACUAAACAUUCUGUUUCUUUAUCCUGCAUAACCAUACCUUCCCCAUAUUCAUGCUUUGAUGUAGAUAACAGAAAUGAAAUAAAAGUGGUAGAGAUAUUAUGAUUUUUAAUGUUCAUUGGAUAUUAUUUUUUAUGCUUCUUCCUGUGCUCAAGACCCUAAAAGUUAAGGCAAAACUAAAAAAAAAGAAGGGAUUUGCCAGGCAAAUGGUAUGGAGGAGGAUAAGAAAAGCUGUCGCACAACACAACUGUCACAUAUGCUUUUUCCACCACCCUCUAUCUCCUUUGGUUGUUCAGUAUGUAAGAAUAGUUUUCUUUCCCCAAAUGCUUACAGAACUUCCCUACAAGACUAGUAUCUGCAAAUGACAUUACUUUUACCCAGAGAAAAUAUGUGUGCAGGCUGGGCAGGGUUAUGUUUUUUAAUGUUCUUUGCACUCUCAACUAGUCUGCAGUUGCAAGUUGCAUUACCAGCAUUUAUCCAUUAAAUUUUGCCACGUGAAUUCCUUUCCUCAGCCUUGCUCACCAGUUGAGAUUUGCUAGGCUUGAGGAGCUUGAGGUUGGAUAUUAGGACAAGGUUCUUCAGAGGGUGGUUGGGCACUGGAACAGGCUCCCCACAGAAAUGGUCACCAGCCAGUCAAUCCAGCCUGGCAAAGUUCAAGAAGCAUUUGGAUAAUGCUCUGAGAUCAAUGGUGUGACUCAUGGGGUGUCCUGUCCAGGACCAGGAGCUGGACUCCAUGAUCUUUGCGAGUCCCUUCCAACUCAGGAUGUUCUAUGACUCUGUGAGAUGUAGCACUCAAACACUGAGGCUGCAGGAGAAAUGGCGGUGAUGGUGCAUGCCUUUACAGCUUUCACCACAGGAAUACCCUAUGCAAGGGCUUUUCCCUCACUGUGAAAGCAACUAGUUUGUAUUGAGCUGCCAAUGGAAUGUAGGGCAGAUGGAAGAAGUAGGUAACUUCAUGAUCAUCCCAGCCAUUUCUGUGAGAAACAUUUGACUCCAGCCUGCCUGCAUGGCUCUUAUUCCAGUUAUUUACCUUCUUUUCACAUUGCUGCAGCCAGAAGAUUGUUAAGUGCCCUUUUAGGGCAGGUUUGGAUUCAGCGAGACUACUUACACAAGUAGCUGUCGGCCAGUUUGAGCUGUAUGACCCUUGGUUCCCAUUUCUAGGACACGCUGCUCACGACACUUGGGCCUGUUACGUCAAUAACCUCUUGGUUGCUCCUUCUCAGCCCUGGUCCUGCAGACUCUGCUGACAAGCUUCAGCACAAAACAUCCCCACUGAAGUUUUUAUACACUGAAUAAAUGGUGGCUUGUGAAUGGAUGGUACAGAAUUCGGUUGUUUAUUUAUCUCUGGCUGAUUUUCUUGUAUCAGAGAUUUCUACUGCUCUAAAAAUGAAAGGUUAAAUGCCUUCAAGUCUUUGUCCUAGAUAUUACCAUGCCACUGUGUUUGAACUCAACUGAGAACCAUAUUUGUAUGCCUUUGCAAAUGCCAUUCCUAUAAUUCUCCCUUGCAUGAUUGUUUUCUGAAAGUCUGCAAAGUAAAGCUUGGUGGGAAUUUUCCCACAGUCUAUUUGUUUGUAUGCAAAAAUGCUGACUUGAUGAAAUGGAACCUUUCUGUGGAAAAUAUUUGUUCCAGCAAGAAAGCUUCUCAGAUUCAGAAGUGAAUUUCUGGAAAAAAAAAAAAAAAAAGGAGAGAAGGAAAAACUUUCCAUUCUUUGCCUCAAAGUAGAUAGCUGCUUAGUGCUGAGGCAUUCCCUGGAGGAAAUGGGCAAGAGAGGUUCAAACCCCACCUGUUCAGAGUGUUAAUCUCUUUCUGGGCCAGCUAUGCAAAGUUGAACAUCAUCAAACAGGGUAAAAGGGAAUAUUCUUGCUGGCUUCUGUCUUUUUAUGCCUGUUUGGCUUUUUUUUUCAAGAAAGGUUCUAAUUUCACUUUAAUGCUCAACAAAAGCAUAUUUUGCAAUGACCAUUGUUUUCCAAAAUAUCAAUGUUUUGCAGAUAGUGUUACACUAACCCUGCAGUGAUUGCCUUGCAGAUCCAUUUAUAAAUUCUUUUAAAUGUGGAUGACAGAGUCACUCCAUUUGGGAUCUGUACUCUGUAAAUGGAGCCCUUCUGACUCUUUGCAGGUUUUUUAGGAGACAUCCAGUGUUUGAUUCUGCACAUUUCUAACAUAUAAGCUGCUAUGAGCUUUAGCUACUUAACUAAUGGAGCUAUUCAUACACUUGAUGCCAGCACAUUAUAAAUUGAUAAUACUUUUAUUAAAGUCAAUAGAAAGAUUUCUACUGGCCUCGAAUGAAAGUUCAUUACAUUAUGUCCUUGUAUCUUCAUGUUUUGAUUUGACACUUGAUCUUGUCUUAUUUUAGUGAUGUUCAGGUUCUUCUAAAAUUAUAUUUACAUCAGUCAUGCAUCCCUACAAUUUCAGAAAGAAGUAUAUACUUUGUCUAUUCUUUAGGGAGAGAAUAGGAAUUCAGGAAACCUGGAUUCUUCUCUGACUUACUACUGACUUAGACUAUCUAUCAUUAUUUAUUAACUUUAACAAUUAAUUUUAUUAUUUCAAUAUGCAAGGAAAUUUAAGCACUAGGAAAUAUUUUACAUUCAGUAAAAUAUUGCAUUAUAAUACUCAUAACCUUAAUUUACUCAAUGGCAAUUUCACAAUUAGGACAUUAUAAUGCAGUUUUAAUGCACAUUUAUAAUAGUAAUGAAGACCAGAAUUACACAGAUAUAACACAAAUCAUAUUUAAUCCAGAGCAAUCUCAGAUAAUAACCAACUAAGAAUUAUAUGGCACUGAGUUUCUAUGUAUCAUUUUUCUUCUAUCAGAAGUAAUGUUACAAAUUGUCAUAAUAUAAAUUGUUUACAUUUGUUUUAAAACAUUCUAUAAUAUUGAUUGAUACUUUAGGCUGAGUACUUCUUGUACGAAUAGCAUAAAAUUUCUCCAACUAAUGAGAAAAUUAAUUUUCCACCCAGCAUAACUCCAGUGUUCAAUUAGAUUUAAAUACUAAUUCUCAUAAUGUACUAAUUUCUUCAAAAUAAAAAAAAAAAAAACAAAAACCAAAAAAACAACCAAAAAAUCAACCAACGAAAUGUACCAAACCAAAACAAAAACCACAAAACCCCACCCCUAAUUUACUAUUUCACAAAGCUGGCAGACAAAAAUGCUUGAAAAGCAGAGUCUUCAGAUCAUAAAAGUAAAUUAUAUCAUAAAACUCUCCCACCUUUUAAACUAACAUUCUGUGAAAUACUGUUCAGCUUUACUUUACAAAGCAUCACAGAUUGGUCCCCUAUAUCAUGUACUUUUGUCUGUCUCACACAGUAACCACCUCCUUGAAUCUUCUUAGCUAGAAUCAUGCUGCCAAAACAGAUGGACUCUUAAAGUAAAGUGCAAGACUAAUUAUUAUUUCUUAAUCUUCAGCUAUGAGAUUUAUCUUCUAAUUUAAAUUGGAAUAAUACUUCCACUGCAGUUUAUCAUACUUGUACUGUGAAAAGCAUUCUAGGAUCAAGUAAAAUAUUAUGUCAUAGUGGGGUUUUUUUUAAUGUUAUUACAGUAUUAUUUUUUAAACUAUAGCCAAAAUAUUUUAGGACAUGUUGCAUGUCUUGAGGUAUGUGUUUAAGGGUGGUGAGUGCAUAGCUUUCCAGCAGCUGUUAAUACUAAAACAAGCAUUUCUUCAGAACAGUGAAACACAUAUGAGAAGUCUGUGUUCAGUGACUGAAAAAUAUCAACCAGCUUCUGAGAGACCCCGGUGUCGCGUGCAUUUGUAGGUAGCGGUAUUUUACAUUUGGAAGCUUUCUCCAUGAGUCAUGUCCUAAAGCAGAGCUGCAACUGAAGGAUGUUACUGCUCCAGCCCUGCGCGCCUCCCCGGCCACGAUUGCCAAAUCAGUCUCCAAUUAAGAAUGUGAAUGACGAAAGAAUAAAUAGCUUUGUGUUUUUUACCAAACACGAGGGCCCCUGUAGCAUCCUGAAAUGUGUGCUAAAUUCAGCACAAAGCAUUGUAACGUGCACAAACAUAAAACUCUGCUGCCUGUUGUAUAGAUCUGUGCUCACUGCUGCAGUGAGAGAUUUUGGUGGAUAAGAAAUAGCCUCUGACAAAACCAGCAGAUAAAAUUAUUAAGUAAAGAUAAAACCGUAUCAAAUGUCCCCAGAGCUGUGAGACAAUAGUUAGCUUGCACUAAUCUUGACUCUGAGGCUGAGAAUGCCGUGGUUUCUCAUGUCAUUUCAGGAAUUACUUUUGCUACGUUUUAAGGCAUGAUGCAACGGUUUAAAAAGUGGAAAAUUAUUUUAGCCAGAGAACAUUCUGGCUAAAAUCCCAGGUCCACUAAAAUCAAUGGGAGCUUUUACUGUGGUUUUGUGUCAUAUAUUGGUUAUUUCUCCUCCCUUGCUCUUUUCACUUAUGCCCGUUUUAUGAUACUCUUCGAUACAUGUCGCUAUACUGGAGUUUGUUACGUAAUCAGAAGCCAAGUUUGCACCAAACAACAGAACAUUAUUUUUAUUUGCAGAAACAAAAAUGAUGCAUUUUCCCUCACAACUGUUGUUUGAUAGAUAUAUGAUGGAUAAAGGCAAGAGGGGAUUUACUGAGCUUGAAGAAAAUGGAUUGUAUAUCUAUGGCAUGCUUUUUUGUGUAUGUCACCUGCAAUAUGUGACCUUCUGUUGUAUACGACUUAAAAGUAACCGCGUGCUGUAAGUUAAACACUAGAACAUAAAC